AGAUACAGCUUUCUUGUCAAUUGUGGUGAGUCUUAACAUUUCACAAAAUGCAUGCACAAAGAUCUCUUAAUAAAACUACUAAUAUUAUAGGAUACAGAAAAUUAUCGCAGUGCUAAGAAAGAUUAUGAGCUUCAGCCUUUUGUCCCGCUUAGCGUUUUUUCGAGUUUAAGCUAUACUAAGUUGGCAAAGUAAAGCUGAUAACAAGUAAACAGAAGACAAAUAACUUUUCUAACGUAUCACUGUGCACACAAGGCAAAUAGAUUUGCAAUCAAAAUCCCCUUAGUCCCAGGAUCAAUGUCUGAAGGGGUCAAACCCUUUGAGCGAAUAAGAAUGAACAUAUUUGUUAAGGUAGGAUAAGGAUCGAACUUUUUCAACUGUCCAUUAUAUCAACCAUUGAUCCCCAUGCCUACCAUUUGAAGUCCUAAAUAAUUUCACUUCCUAAAUAAUUUCACUUAUUAUAUCAACCACCACUGGAGACAGAAAACCUUUUAAAUGCUUAGAACGACGCCAAUCCCCAUCCCAAACCACAAGCAAGGGGAAAAGAAAGGUUUU
Molecule: long non-coding RNA, 552 nt
Filed under: Malus domestica (apple)
Lineage: Eukaryota; Viridiplantae; Streptophyta; Magnoliopsida; Rosales; Rosaceae
Description: long non-coding RNA (MDOM_LNC020528)
Source: RNAcentral